CCUACGGGUGGCAGCAGUGAGGAAUAUUGGUCAAUGGACGAGAGUCUGAACCAGCCAAGUAGCGUGAAGGAUGACUGCCCUAUGGGUUGUAAACUUCUUUUAUAUGGGAAUAAAAUGUUCCACGUGUGGGAUUUUGUAUGUACCAUAUGAAUAAGGAUCGGCUAACUCCGUGCCAGCAGCCGCGGUAAUACGGAGGAUCCGAGCGUUAUCCGGAUUUAUUGGGUUUAAAGGGAGCGUAGGUGGAUUGUUAAGUCAGUUGUGAAAGUUUGCGGCUCAACCGUAAAAUUGCAGUUGAAACUGGCAGUCGUGAGUACAGUAGAGGUGGGCGGAAGUCGUGGUGUAGCGGUGAAAUGCUGAGAUAUCACGAAGAACUCCGAUUGCGAAGGCAGCUCACUGGACUGCAACUGACACUGAGGCUCGAAAGUGUGGGUAUCAAACAGGAUUAGAGACCCCAGUAGUC
Molecule: ribosomal RNA, 460 nt
Filed under: uncultured bacterium
Lineage: Bacteria
Description: partial 16S ribosomal RNA
Rfam family: Bacterial small subunit ribosomal RNA
Source: RNAcentral